This 282-nucleotide small RNA is filed under the name Pan troglodytes (chimpanzee). The record is from RNAcentral. Lineage: Eukaryota; Metazoa; Chordata; Mammalia; Primates; Hominidae.
GCCGGGCACAGUGGCUCAUGCCUGUAAUCCUCACACUUUGGGAGGCUGAGGCAGAUGGAUCACUUGAGGCAAGGAGUUCUGGACCAUCCUGGCCAACAUGGCGAAACUCCAUCUCUACCAAAAAUACAAAAAUUAGCCGGGCAUGGUGGUGCGUGCCUGUAAUCCCAGCUACUAGGGAGGCUGAGGCAGGAGGAUUGCUUGAACCCAGAAGGUGGAGGUUGCAGUGAACCAAGAUGGUGUCAGUGCACUCCAGCCUGGGUGACAGAGUGAGACUCUGUCUCA